CCUACGGGAGGCAGCAGUAAGGAAUAUUGGUCAAUGGACGCAAGUCUGAACCAGCCAUGCCGCGUGAAGGAUUAAGGUCCUCUGGAUUGUAAACUUCUUUUAUCUGGGACGAAAAAAGGCGAUUCUUCGUCACUUGACGGUACCAGAUGAAUAAGCACCGGCUAACUCCGUGCCAGCAGCCGCGGUAAUACGGAGGGUGCAAGCGUUAUCCGGAUUCACUGGGUUUAAAGGGUGCGUAGGCGGGCAGGUAAGUCAGUGGUGAAAUCCUAGAGCUUAACUCUAGAACUGCCAUUGAUACUAUCUGUCUUGAAUAUUGUGGAGGUAAGCGGAAUAUGUCAUGUAGCGGUGAAAUGCUUAGAUAUGACAUAGAACACCUAUUGCGAAGGCAGCUUACUACGCAUAUAUUGACGCUGAGGCACGAAAGCGUGGGGAUCAAACAGGAUUAGAUACCCUGGUAGUCCACGCCCUAAACGAUGAUUACUCGACAUUUGUGAUACACUAUAAGUGUCUGAGNGAAGANAUAAGUAAUACACCNGGAGUACGACCGCGAGUUAGUAACGUACGAAGAAGUAGACGGACGUUGAGACGUUGCCGACGGACGACGACGAGGGGAGGAGGG
This 619-nucleotide ribosomal RNA is filed under the name uncultured bacterium. Its description in RNAcentral is "bacterial SSU rRNA". The stretch from base 1 to 534 matches the Rfam family "Bacterial small subunit ribosomal RNA", at positions 338 to 873 of the family's 1533-position model. The record is from RNAcentral.